UAUCACAGGACGAACUCCAUGAAUUGGAAAGCUAGGCCAACGCAAACAAAGAAUCACCUGAAUUUCGAUGGUUCAAGACCAUUUGGGAGAAGAAUGCUUGGGUUGACAGCGUGGCUAUUGACAAGUACGUCGAUUUCUUGGAGAGAAGACACCAAUCAUUUCCUCUAUUAUAUACAAAGGAUUGCAAGUUCUGUCCUACAUAUUUCAUGCCAUGUAUCGGCAUGCAAAUGUCGACAUUGCGAAUAUAUCGGGAUGUUGGCAGUGACGAUUCGCGUUUAUUAUUUGAAGGGAUAGAAAAACUCUCUUCGAUCAACAUUGUCAAGCUGUAUGAGGGGCAGAAGGCCAUGUGGCAACAUGAAGAGGUACUGGUGUCGUUACAAGUUAUCAAUGCUAGGUAUACCCAAAUCUAUAAUUUCUAGAUAUUGAUAUCUUAUCUUGCCAAACAUGGACAGGCAUAUGUACCAAUCAAUCACGCCAACAGUCAUUGGUACCUGAUGGUCAUCCACCCUCGAGAUCGAUGAAUCAUUAUACUUGACAGUUUAUACUCGAGGACACUCAAUCGAUACAGGCAACAUAUUGAUCUGAUGAAGGAGGCCUUGCCUAUAUUAUUUUA
Magnolia sinica is the source of this 613-nucleotide long non-coding RNA. RefSeq lists it as uncharacterized. The transcript has 3 exons. NCBI's taxonomy places the organism in Eukaryota, Viridiplantae, Streptophyta, Magnoliopsida, Magnoliales, Magnoliaceae. The record is from RefSeq and is a predicted model, not a curated record.